GGCUCUCGGCGGGGGUCGGGUUGCCCUCGGGAACGGUGUGUUAACGCUGGAGUACGGGGAAAUAAUUUUUGAAGAACAGGCUUUCAGAAGGAACCCAGAAGGACACCCAGACUUUUUGCCUUGUUUUUGUGGGUCAAAUCUCAUGACAAUGCUGUGGAGAAAUGAAGAACAGACAAGGAACUCUGUUAAAAAUAAUAACUGUUCAGAGGACGAUCUGAAAAUGCAGAUGCAGUUGCACUUCUGAUGCUUCAAGGAACAUUAAAUCAGGACGCAUUUGAUGGUGCUUCUGAAGUAGCUGGCCCCAAAGUUUGGACUCUGCCAAUACUGAAAAAGUAUGCCUGUAAAAGUUGUCUUCCCCUGAAAGUUAUGGUUAUGGAUGUUUGUGCAUGUGCCAUGUUUAAUAUAUUUUAAUUUCUUCAUACUUAACUCAGAUGCGGUUUAAUUGAACUGGUAUUUUACUCUCUGAAGAGAAUUCCUAUUUAUGUACUGCUAUGGAAGUGUGAA
Long non-coding RNA from Lepidothrix coronata (blue-crowned manakin), 504 nucleotides. RefSeq lists it as uncharacterized. The transcript has 3 exons. The record is from RefSeq and is a predicted model, not a curated record. NCBI's taxonomy places the organism in Eukaryota, Metazoa, Chordata, Aves, Passeriformes, Pipridae.